This 226-nucleotide unclassified non-coding RNA is filed under the name Mortierella sp. RNAcentral describes it as "partial internal transcribed spacer region". The stretch from base 1 to 46 matches the Rfam family "Eukaryotic small subunit ribosomal RNA", at positions 1786 to 1831 of the family's 1831-position model. Lineage: Eukaryota; Fungi; Mortierellomycota; Mortierellomycetes; Mortierellales; Mortierellaceae. The record is from RNAcentral.
AAGUCGUAACAAGGUUUCCGUAGGUGAACCUGCGGAAGGAUCAUUCACAAUAAGUGUUUAUGGCACUUUCAAAUCCAUACCCACCUUGUGUGCAAUGUAUAAGAGUCCCUUUCCAACUCGGAUUGGACUUGAUUUUUCUCUCACACGUCUUCAAUUGCAAGUCUAAGCUUUCAGAGUAAUCAAAAAAACUCGAAUACAACUUUUAACAAUGGAUCUCUUGGCUCUC